AUGCACGCCACUUGCAACGGCCCGUGGCUCCUCAGUGGGGACUUCAACAUGAUCGUCUCCCCCGAGGAAAAGAAUAAUGACAACCUUCAUCGCGCCUCUAUGCGACGCUUCCGGCAUUUCAUCGCCGAUGAGGAGCUCCGAGACAUCUACCUCCACGGCCGGUGCUAUACGUGGUCUAAUGAGCGCGAGGCUCCCACUCCCGAGCGCAUCGACAGGGUUCUCUGCACCGUUGGUUGGGAGCUUGAUCACCCGAGCUGCAUGCUACGCUGUCUAUCCUCCGCCGCCUCGGACCAUGCACCGCUCAUUAUCGACGCGCUGCCGCGUUCCUCCGGCCACAGGCGCUUCCACUUUGAACGUUUCUAG
Molecule: ribosomal RNA, 363 nt
Filed under: Triticum aestivum (bread wheat)
Lineage: Eukaryota; Viridiplantae; Streptophyta; Magnoliopsida; Poales; Poaceae
Description: partial small subunit ribosomal RNA
Source: RNAcentral